AAAAAAAACAAAACAAAACAAAGGCGAAAAUUUAUGCCCUUUGUUGUUUGUUGUUGUUGUUUGUCGUUCUUUGUUGUUCUCUACCCGGCUUUUUUUUUUUUUUUUUUUUUUUUU
RNAcentral lists this non-coding RNA (114 nucleotides) under Lotharella globosa. The record is from RNAcentral. Lineage: Eukaryota; Cercozoa; Chlorarachniophyceae.